CCUACGGGGGGCAGCAGUGGGGAAUAUUGGGCAAUGGGCGCAAGCCUGACCCAGCAACGCCGCGUGAAGGAAGAAGGCCCUCGGGUUGUAAACUUCUUUUGUCAGGGACGAAGCAAGUGACGGUACCUGACGAAUAAGCCACGGCUAACUACGUGCCAGCAGCCGCUGUAAUCCGUAGGUGGCAAGCGUUAUCCGGAUUUACUGGGUGUAAAGGGCGUGUAGGCGGGGAAGCAAGUCAGCUGUGAAAUGCCAGGGCUCAACCCUGGGACUGCAUUUGAAACUGUUUUUCUUGAGUGAUGGAGAGGCAGGCGGAAUUCCGGGUGUAGCGGUGAAAUGCGUAGAUAUACGGAGGAACACCAGUGGCGAAGGCGGCCUGCUGGACAUUAACUGACGCUGAGGCGCGAAAGCGUGGGGAGCAAACAGGAUUAGAUACCCGAGUAGUC
Molecule: ribosomal RNA, 443 nt
Filed under: uncultured bacterium
Lineage: Bacteria
Description: partial 16S ribosomal RNA
Rfam family: Bacterial small subunit ribosomal RNA
Source: RNAcentral